Long non-coding RNA from Xenopus laevis (African clawed frog), 608 nucleotides. RefSeq lists it as uncharacterized. NCBI's taxonomy places the organism in Eukaryota, Metazoa, Chordata, Amphibia, Anura, Pipidae. The transcript has 5 exons. The record is from RefSeq and is a predicted model, not a curated record.
CACAGUCACAUAUUGGACAGUACCAGUGCACAGCGGUAAAUAAAGUCAGCAAGAAUAUUAGUGACCCCUACACACUGUCCUUAUACAAUAAUGAACCUCGUUCAGGCAACUCUGCGGCCUUUACAGCCGCCAUCAUCUGUGGGUGCAUCUUGGGGACUGUGCUCAUCAUCUGUGCAGUGCUCCUACUGUACAAAAAAUAUAUUCUUCCCCUAACAGGACAAUCAGGUGACACAGAGGAGGACCCAUCCCAAAUAUAUAUUAACAUUCUCAAUACUGCAGGGGUUCAGUUGGCAAAAAAGGAAUCUGAAUAUGCGACACUGGAGUACCCAAGUCAGAAUACGUAUAGCGAGCUGAAACAAUAACGUGAUACAUACAGUUGGAGCAUGUGUAAAAUAUGUAUAUAAAAUAUGUAUAUGGCCAUAAGACUUGAUAAGGAAGCAGCACAACUUUUUUUUUUUUUUACAAAUAUUUUUGCAUUUUAAAUUACUUCAAUAAUAAAACCCCUAAACAAACAAGGGUGUCGGCAUUUGUAUAAAUCAGUAAGCAAUAACCAUUUCCAAUGGAAGACACUUCUAGUGUAACAAUCAAAUUGAAUAAAGGGUAAGAAG